GACGAACGCUGGCGGCGUGCCUAAUACAUGCAAGUCGAGCGCAGGAAACUGACGGAACUCUUCGGAGGGAAGGCAGCGGAAUGAGCGGCGGACGGGUGAGUAACACGUAAGGAACCUGCCUCAAGGAUUGGGAUAACUCCGAGAAAUCGGAGCUAAUACCGGAUAGUUCAUCGGACCGCAUGGUCCGUUGAUGAAAGGCGCUCCGGCGUCACCUUGAGAUGGCCUUGCGGUGCAUUAGCUAGUUGGUGGGGUAACGGCCCACCAAGGCGACGAUGCAUAGCCGACCUGAGAGGGUGAUCGGCCACACUGGGACGGGGACACGGCCCAGACUCCUACGGGAGGCAGCAGUAGGGAAUCUUCCACAAUGGACGAAAGUCUGAUGGAGCAACGCCGCGUGAGUGAUGAAGGUUUUCGGAUCGUAAAACUCUGUUGUAAGGGAAGAACACGUACGAGAGGGAAUGCUCGUACCUUGACGGUACCUUACGAGAAAGCCACGGCUAACUACGUGCCAGCAGCCGCAGUAA
This 524-nucleotide ribosomal RNA is filed under the name uncultured bacterium. RNAcentral describes it as "partial 16S ribosomal RNA". It matches the Rfam family "Bacterial small subunit ribosomal RNA", at positions 28 to 523 of the family's 1533-position model. The record is from RNAcentral.